CUUCAACGAGCCCAGCCACAACGGCCGUUCGGCAGCACGACCUUGGCCGUACGUGGCAAGCAGCGCCUGGGCCUC
Molecule: non-coding RNA, 75 nt
Organism: Actinobacteria bacterium OK074
Lineage: Bacteria; Bacillati; Actinomycetota; Actinomycetes
Rfam family: ASpks TB sRNA
Source: Rfam